CCUACGGGAGGCAGCAGUGAGGAAUAUUGGUCAAUGGUCGGGAGACUGAACCAGCCAAGCCGCGUGAGGGAUGAAGGUACAGAGUAUCGUAAACCUCUUUUGUCAGGGAACAAAGGCGGGGACGCGUCCCCGGAUGAGUGUACCUGACUAAUAAGCCCCGGCUAACUACGUGCCAGCAGCCGCGGUAAUACGUAGGGGGCAAGCGUUAUCCGGAUUUACUGGGUGUAAAGGGAGCGUAGACGGCGAUGCAAGUCUGAAGUGAAAGGCGGGGGCCCAACCUCCGGACUGCUUUGGAAACUUUAUGGCUGGAGUGCAGGAGAGGUAAGUGGAAUUCCUAGUGUAGCAGUGAAAUGCGUAGAUAUUAGGAGGAACACCAGUGGCGAAGGCGGCUUACUGGACUGUAACUGACGUUGAGGCUCGAAAGCGUGGGGAGCAAACAGGAUUAGAUACCCGGGUAGUC
This 460-nucleotide ribosomal RNA is filed under the name uncultured bacterium. RNAcentral's name for it is "partial 16S ribosomal RNA". It matches the Rfam family "Bacterial small subunit ribosomal RNA", at positions 338 to 795 of the family's 1533-position model. The record is from RNAcentral.